UCAGCAAUGAUCGGCAAAUUUGCUUACGCAAAGCUAAAGAUAUAUUCGUCUAAUGAAAUGCGUGUCACCAUAAAAGGAAGCCUGGAAAUGGUAUGCAAGGAAACCAUCUCAAUGGAUGACUAUUUAGCGGCAACAUUGGAUGACAAACUAAAUUGAUUGAGUUCCAAGCUGAAUGUCUAUGCAACCAGGAAUACCGAAGCCAACCAAGAUUGCUGGAAAAGAAAGAAUUAAAGCAGUCUAAAGAGGAUUAUCUUUCGUCGUUAAAAAAAAGCAACAAACGGCAAAAACAGCGGAUUUUACACCAUUUUCUUUUACAUUUGAUAAGAAAUUUCAAAUCACCCAUAUAUACACCCACAACGA
Molecule: long non-coding RNA, 360 nt
Organism: Octopus sinensis (East Asian common octopus)
Lineage: Eukaryota; Metazoa; Mollusca; Cephalopoda; Octopoda; Octopodidae
Exons: 2
Source: RefSeq, a predicted model, not a curated record